This 405-nucleotide ribosomal RNA is filed under the name uncultured bacterium. Its description in RNAcentral is "partial 16S ribosomal RNA". It matches the Rfam family "Bacterial small subunit ribosomal RNA", at positions 33 to 526 of the family's 1533-position model. The record is from RNAcentral.
GAUGACGCUGGCGGCGUGCCUAAUACAUGCAAGUCGAACGAGUGGCGGACGGGUGAGUAAUGUCUGGGCAACUGCCUGAUGGAGGGGGAUAACUACUGGAAACGGUAGCUAAUACCGCAUACCAUCGGAUGUGCCCAGAUGGGAUUAGCUAGUAGGUGGGGUAACGGCUCACCUAGGCGACGAUCCCUAGCUGGUCUGAGAGGAUGACCGGCCACACUGGAACUGAGACACGGUCCAGACUCCUACGGGAGGCAGCAGUGGGGAAUCUUGGACAAUGGGCGAAAGCCUGAUGCAGCCAUGCCGCGUGUAUGAAGAAGGCCUUCGGGUUGUAAAGUACUGUCAGCGGGGAGGCGUUACCCGAAGAAGAAGCACCGGCUAACUCCGUGCCAGCAGCCGCGGUAAUAC